Sinocyclocheilus rhinocerous is the source of this 321-nucleotide long non-coding RNA. RefSeq lists it as uncharacterized. The transcript has 2 exons. The record is from RefSeq and is a predicted model, not a curated record. Lineage: Eukaryota; Metazoa; Chordata; Actinopteri; Cypriniformes; Cyprinidae.
AGAUCCUUGAAUGUCAUUGCCAGGAUUCCAGAGAUGACACUGUCAAGAAUGGCUAUUCCUCUCCCCUUCACUGUUCCCAUCAAUCCAGAUGGAUCUCUUUCCAUUCAUAUUGAUGAGGACAUUCUCUCCUGGAUCCAGAAACAUAUCAAGGAAGAAUAACACAUAAAAAUAUAAUUUUACAUUUUUCAGAAGAAAAUGUUGAGCUCUGUUAAUGUAUAUUUGAUUGUUUCUUGACAGUUUAAUUGAAAGCCUUACCACUGUUGUCAAGUACAGCAUGUAAUGUAAUGCAGUCUAAUGCUAAUAAAUACCUUGCAAGUGAAA